RNAcentral lists this ribosomal RNA (436 nucleotides) under uncultured bacterium. RNAcentral describes it as "bacterial SSU rRNA". It matches the Rfam family "Bacterial small subunit ribosomal RNA", at positions 43 to 524 of the family's 1533-position model. The record is from RNAcentral.
CAGGCCUAACACAUGCAAGUCGAACGAAGGCUUCGGCCUUAGUGGCGCACGGGUGCGUAACGCGUGGGAAUCUGCCUUGGGGUUCGGAAUAACAGCGGGAAACUGCUGCUAAUACCGGAUGAUGUUUAGCGACCAAAGAUUUAUCGCCCCAAGAUGAGCCCGCGUCGGAUUAGCUAGUUGGUGGGGUAAAGGCCUACCAAGGCGACGAUCCGUAGCUGGUCUGAGAGGAUGAUCAGCCACACUGGGACUGAGACACGGUCCAGACUCCUACGGGAGGCAGCAGUGGGGAAUAUUGCACAAUGGGCGCAAGCCUGAUGCAGCCAUGCCGCGUGAGUGAUGAAGGCCUUAGGGUUGUAAAGCUCUUUUAUCCNGGGACGAUAAUGACGUAUCCGGAGGAAUAAGCCCCGGCUAACUUCGUGCCAGCAGCCGCGGUAAU